AUGCUGAAAUAAAAAAAAUAAUAAUAAUGAUAAAAGAAUGGCCACACGCAUUUGUCGUGUGGGGGCUGGGCUGACUAGCUCUUCUUCCUUCAGAGUCCCUGAAAUGUCGGGGCCACCCUGUCCCCACCCUCUCCCGAGGCGGAGCGGGGCCAGCAUGGGGUCCUGAGCCUUUGGAUCCGGUCCGUGAUGGCCUGGACGGGAGACCAGAAGGGGACAGGAAAGUCCAGGAAAGCUGUUAGCUAUUUUUAGAUCUUAGGGUGAUGAAGAACAUUAGAACACGAACAGAAGAAGAAACUACAACAGGCAGAGAUCGAUACGUGCAGCACAGAAUUAAACGUUUUGCAUCAUCAUCAAAAAAAACCUAAGUUUUGCAUUGAAGAACUCAACCGUAAGGUAAAUGAGAAAACAGGGGAGGACUACACCUAGGACAAAUAAAGCUCCAAAAAGCUUACUGUAUAAAAUUUUUUCAAAAAUCAAUAUGAAAAAGACCCCAUUAAAGAGAUGGGUGAAGGAUGCUGGUGGGCAAUUUGCAAGAGAAGUGAAGAGGCAAUGUGAGCAACGCCUGGCCUUUCUGGUUUUCUCUAACUGUCUAAGCCCAACCUGCCCUGCAUGAUGAGGUCGAACUGAAAAAAAAAGCAAAAAAAAAAGGAGAAUUUGGAAAAGUCAAAUCCAAGAGGCAUGACACCGAGCUAGCAUGAGAUACAAAGUGAAAAGUUGGCAGAGGAGCGCAGCCAAGACCAAGCCAAAGGCUCAGAAGGCCCCUUCUUUUUCGUUGCCUCAUUUAAUGCUCAAACAACUCCCAGGGAGAGAUUUCUAGAAUCCCUGUUUUGGGGUGAAGACAAUCAAAGCUUAGGAAGCCGAGGGCGCUUGCUCGCAAAGACACACCCAGCAUCGCGGUGGGAAGAGCCAGAAUUCGAACCUGCUGAUGCUCAAGGUUUGUCGCCAUCUGAGUUUUUCAAUCUGCCCAAAACGCUCAUGCUGCUCACACUGCGGUGAGGACAGACCAGAUCGGCGACGUGCGACUCACAGUCGUCACACGGCAGAUUUCACGCACCGUCCCGUCUCAAGACAAUCGCACUUAACUCCCCCCCCCACCCUGGAACUUGCGAGAAGGACGUCGUCACGUGGGCCCUCGGGACCUCUGGGUGUCCGGGUGUCAGGACUCACCGUGCCUUGUCGCGGCCCCGGCUUCUGCCCUGCCAAACCCCACACUUGGCUCAACCCUUCUUUUUUUCCCCCAAGGAACAACGGUGUAGACAAAAAAAAA
Molecule: non-coding RNA, 1267 nt
Organism: Microcebus murinus (gray mouse lemur)
Lineage: Eukaryota; Metazoa; Chordata; Mammalia; Primates; Cheirogaleidae
Source: RefSeq, a predicted model, not a curated record